This 53-nucleotide small nucleolar RNA is filed under the name Choloepus hoffmanni (Hoffmann's two-fingered sloth). RNAcentral describes it as "Small nucleolar RNA SNORA1 (ENSCHOG00000015984.1)". Lineage: Eukaryota; Metazoa; Chordata; Mammalia; Pilosa; Megalonychidae. The record is from RNAcentral.
CAGGUUUUGCUUCCAUCUCUGUAAAUUUAUUGAAGUGGUGACAGUGAGACCUG